This is a long non-coding RNA of Lathyrus oleraceus (garden pea), 1033 nucleotides long. RefSeq lists it as uncharacterized. NCBI's taxonomy places the organism in Eukaryota, Viridiplantae, Streptophyta, Magnoliopsida, Fabales, Fabaceae. The transcript is spliced from 2 exons. The record is from RefSeq and is a predicted model, not a curated record.
CAAUGCCAAGCCCAUCCAUGAGUCCAAUCCCAAUCAACUUGAAGGACAUGGAGGAGUAAUGGGAAACCUUGUGUUAAUAGCAAAACAAACGGGCCUCAGGGGAGUAUUGAAGCCUAAUCCAGAUUUUUGAGGGGGGAAGUAAGUCCAUUGAAAUGAGUGGAGAAGGCAAUCAGCAGCCAAUUCAAUCACUAAACACGUCUUUCAAGUGUUUCUCAUGGUCAAGCAAUCACAGUUCAAACUCCAAAUUUCCCUCCACCUGAAUAUUCCUUAUCCACGCCAGAGGUCGCCUCCGGCGGCGGUGGAACCCUAACCUUUAAACCAAGCACAUCAUCUUUUUUAUCUCCUCCCACUGAGUAUACAUAUCAUAACUAAAUUCCCUAAUUCCUCCUCAAUCAUCUGAAUUAUAACAGAAAGUGCAUGAACCUUAGGUAUCAAUAAGAGAAAUUAAAUCAUGAACUUAUGGAAUAAAAGCCCUAGAGGUUAGGGCUUUGAUUCCUCUAACCAAACUCUACAUCACUAUAACAAAAACAUAAUAAAAUAGUAAGGAAAAAGGCGACACUCACUACAGCAGACGCGAAGGUCACCAAAAUCAGGUUGUGCAUGAUGUGAAAGGUUUGCUGCAGGAUUUGGCUUGGAAAUUACAGGUCCAUAAGGCUUGAAUUUGGUCUGGUCCAACUGGUUUGUGUUGCUGCAGGAUGCUCAGAAUUUGGGCUUGGAAAAUGAAGUGCAUUGCUUGGAAUUGUGGAGUUUUCACAUUGCUUUUUGUCAUGGAGUUUGAAUGUAUUUGGACUUAUUGUAAUUGGUUUGAAUUGGAUGUAACCAUGUAUGUAGUUUAUGCCAUGAAGGAUAAGGUAUAGGCAUGGUGAUUGUAUGUAAUUUGGUCAAGUGAUUUGUAAAUAUUACAUAUAAUUUAGAUCCAUAUUGUACUUUAAAUGGUUGUUUGUAAUUGAUGUAAUUGGAAUUCGUAAAAUGGUUUGAAAUGUAUUGAAGAGUUCUUUGGAAAUUGAAAUGGUAAUGACUUGUAAAUGGUUUU